Molecule: ribosomal RNA, 253 nt
Filed under: uncultured bacterium
Lineage: Bacteria
Description: partial 16S ribosomal RNA
Rfam family: Bacterial small subunit ribosomal RNA
Source: RNAcentral
AACGUAGGUGGCAAGCGUUGUCCGGAAUUACUGGGUGUAAAGGGCGUGUAGGCGGGACUGCAAGUCAGAUGUGAAAUUCCCAGGCUCAACCUGGGGGCUGCAUCUGAAACUGUGGUUCUUGAGUGCUGGAGAGGAAAGCGGAAUUCCUAGUGUAGCGGUGAAAUGCGUAGAUAUUAGGAAGAACACCAGUGGCGAAGGCGGAUUUCUGGACAGUAACUGACGCUGAGGCGCGAAAGCGUGGGGAGCAAACAGG